RNAcentral lists this ribosomal RNA (402 nucleotides) under uncultured bacterium. Its description in RNAcentral is "bacterial SSU rRNA". It matches the Rfam family "Bacterial small subunit ribosomal RNA", at positions 355 to 775 of the family's 1533-position model. The record is from RNAcentral.
UGAGGAAUAUUGCACAAUGGAGGAAACUCUGAUGCAGCAACGCCGCGUGGAGGAUGACGCAUUUCGGUGUGUAAACUCCUUUUAAGAGGGAAGAUAAUGACGGUACCUCUUGAAUAAGCACCGGCUAACUCCGUGCCAGCAGCCGCGGUAAUACGGAGGGUGCAAGCGUUACUCGGAAUCACUGGGCGUAAAGGGUGCGUAGGCUGGCUUCUAAGUCAGAUGUGAAAUCCAAUGGCUUAACCAUUGAACUGCAUUUGAAACUGGAAGCUUAGGGUUCAGAAGGGGAAGAGGGAUUUAGUGGGGUAGGGUAAAAUCCCGUAGAUAUCACUAGAAAUAUAAAAAGGGAGGGGGUUCUGCGGGGAUGUUACGGACGCGGGGGAACGAAAGGGGGGGAGCAAACAG